GAUGAACGCUGGCGGCGUGCCUAAUACAUGCAAGUCGAGCGAACAGACGAGGAGCUUGCUCCUCUGACGUUAGCAGCGGACGGGUGAGUAACACGUGGAUAACCUACCUAUAAGACUGGGAUAACUUCGGGAAACCGGAGCUAAUACCGGAUAAUAUAUUGAACCGCAUGGUUCAAUAGUGAAAGACGGUUUUGCUGUCACUUAUAGAUGGAUCCGCGCCGCAUUAGCUAGUUGGUAAGGUAACGGCUUACCAAGGCGACGAUGCGUAGCCGACCUGAGAGGGUGAUCGGCCACACUGGAACUGAGACACGGUCCAGACUCCUACGGGAGGCAGCAGUAGGGAAUCUUCCGCAAUGGGCGAAAGCCUGACGGAGCAACGCCGCGUGAGUGAUGAAGGUCUUCGGAUCGUAAAACUCUGUUAUUAGGGAAGAACAAAUGUGUAAGUAACUAUGCACGUCUUGACGGUACCUAAUCAGAAAGCCACGGCUAACUACGUG
Molecule: ribosomal RNA, 497 nt
Filed under: uncultured bacterium
Lineage: Bacteria
Description: partial 16S ribosomal RNA
Rfam family: Bacterial small subunit ribosomal RNA
Source: RNAcentral